Molecule: ribosomal RNA, 457 nt
Filed under: uncultured bacterium
Lineage: Bacteria
Description: partial 16S ribosomal RNA
Rfam family: Bacterial small subunit ribosomal RNA
Source: RNAcentral
CUACGGGGUGCUGCAGUAGGGAAUUUUCGGCAAUGGGGGAAACCCUGACCGAGCAACGCCGCGUGAAUGACGAAGUACUUCGGUAUGUAAAGUUCUUUUAUUAGGGAAGAAUGGCAGGUGGAAAAACCUGAUUGACGGUACCUAAUGAAUAAGCCCCGGCUAACUAUGUGCCAGCAGCCGCGGUAAUACAUAGGGGGCAAGCGUUAUCCGGAAUUAUUGGGCGUAAAGGGUGCGUAGGUGGUUAUUUAAGUCUUUGGUGUAAGUGCAGUGCUUAACGCUGUGAUGCUAAAGAAACUGGGUAACUUGAGUGUGGUAGAGGCAAGUGGAAUUCCAGGUGUAGCGGUAAAAUGCGUAAAUAUAUGGAGGAACACCAGUGGCGAAGGCGGCUUGCUGGGCCACAACUGACACUGAGGCACGAAGGCGUGGGGAGCAAACAGGAUUAGAUACCCCAGUAGUC